GACGAACGCUGGCGGCGUGCUUAACACAUGCAAGUCGAGCGAGGGACUUCGGUUCCUAGCGGCGAACGGGUGAGUAACACGUGGGCAACCUGCCCCAAGCUCUGGAAUAACCUCGGGAAACCGGGGCUAAUGCCGGAUAUGACAUCACUGGGCAUCUGGUGGUGUGGAAAGAUUUAUCGGCUUGGGAUGGGCCCGCGGCCUAUCAGCUUGUUGGUGGGGUGAUGGCCUACCAAGGCGACGACGGGUAGCCGGCCUGAGAGGGCGACCGGCCACACUGGGACUGAGACACGGCCCAGACUCCUACGGGAGGCAGCAGUGGGGAAUAUUGCGCAAUGGGCGAAAGCCUGACGCAGCGACGCCGCGUGAGGGAUGACGGCC
RNAcentral lists this ribosomal RNA (378 nucleotides) under Frankia sp. RNAcentral's name for it is "bacterial SSU rRNA". It matches the Rfam family "Bacterial small subunit ribosomal RNA", at positions 28 to 416 of the family's 1533-position model. The record is from RNAcentral. RNAcentral also lists the same sequence under 2 other names. Lineage: Bacteria; Bacillati; Actinomycetota; Actinomycetes; Frankiales; Frankiaceae.